AGUUCGGAUUGUAGGCUGAAACUCGCCUACAUGAAGCUGGAGUUACUAGUAAUCGCAGAUCAGAAUGCUGCGGUGAAUGCGUUCCCGGGUCUUGUACACACCGCCCGUCACACCACGGGCGUUGGAGACGCCCGAAGCCGAUUAUCUAACCUUUUGGAAGAAGUCGUCGAAGGUGGAAUCAAUAACUGGGGUGAAGUCGUAACAAGGUAGCCGUAUCGGAAGGUGCGGCUGGAUCACCUCCUUUCUAAGGAGA
This 253-nucleotide ribosomal RNA is filed under the name Clostridioides difficile. Its description in RNAcentral is "partial 16S ribosomal RNA". It matches the Rfam family "Bacterial small subunit ribosomal RNA", at positions 1290 to 1533 of the family's 1533-position model. The record is from RNAcentral. Lineage: Bacteria; Bacillati; Bacillota; Clostridia; Peptostreptococcales; Peptostreptococcaceae.